GGGAAAUCUGUUUUAUUAUAAUAUUAACACAAAGAUUAGACAUAUUCUUCAAUAUUAAGAAAAAAAUAGACAAAACUUAACAGAGUCAAUUUUCAACCAAUUGGAGGCCACGUGGCCGCCAGCCGGCCGGCGAUUUUUUUACUCCGCCGUCUUCUGCAACCGCAGUUCCUUAUAAAACCGAUUAAUAAAUUCCUCCGCCGCUUUAUCCACGUGGCAGUCCUCAUCGGCACCUCCGGCCACCGGAAACGGCGAGUCGGUUACUCUCAACUGCCUAACCAGCAUCGGGCUGCGGCCAAACCCAGGUAACGCCGGGGACGCCACAUCAACCGCCACGUCAUUAUUAUUGUUGAGAGCCUCCCAAACGGCUUUAAAAGCGUUCAUGGCGGCCACGUCAUCAUCAAGCGUAUUAGGCGCGUGAGCACACGCGAAGAAAUGGCGUCGUUUGUUGAAGGUGUAAUGCAAUCUAGGAAAAGCAGGGGUAUUGGUGCAGCUAAAUUCGUAGUGACCGGCAGCGGCCGCGAGAUCGAGGUGGUUGUUGCGGCGGAAAGGGGCGAGGGAGAAGGCACCACCGGAGGCGUUGUCGUGGUGGUGGAACAUGAGAUUCUUCAAGGCUUUUCCGGUGAGCUUGCGGCGUUUUGAGAGGAGAUUUGUGAGGUCGGCCAUAAGCUUGCUUUUGGAAAUGCCUUUCCUCAGCAUGUAAUAAGCUAUACGUACCAUAUUCCA
RNAcentral lists this unclassified non-coding RNA (723 nucleotides) under Hevea brasiliensis (rubber tree). The record is from RNAcentral. Lineage: Eukaryota; Viridiplantae; Streptophyta; Magnoliopsida; Malpighiales; Euphorbiaceae.